This 72-nucleotide transfer RNA is filed under the name Ovis aries (sheep). It matches the Rfam family "tRNA". From Rfam's summary of the family: Transfer RNA (tRNA) molecules are approximately 80 nucleotides in length. Their secondary structure includes four short double-helical elements and three loops (D, anti-codon, and T loops). Lineage: Eukaryota; Metazoa; Chordata; Mammalia; Artiodactyla; Bovidae. The record is from Rfam by way of RNAcentral.
UCUCUGGUGGCUCAGAUGGUAAAGCAUCUGCCUGCAAUGCAGGAGAUCUGGGUUCAAUGCCCGGGUUGGGAA